GGAAGAUUGUCGUCUUCACGGGGUUGCUCAAGCAUUUUAGAAGUGAUGCCAAGAUAGUGACGAUCAUUGGUCAUGAGGUAGGAAGAUUUCAUUGUUUGGUUGGCCAUGCUGUGGCUCGACAUUCUGCAGAGACUAUUACAAAGAACUUGUGGUUUGCAAUUCUGCAGCUGGUACUUUAUCAAUUUGUUACGCGCCUGAUUUUGUCAACACAACGUCCAAUCUUUUCUUGAGGCUUCCUUUCUCCUGAAGGUACAUUACAGUUCUUUGUAAUUUAGUUUCUAGUCCUUUUUAGUCAUAAUGUUAUGAUUUUUCUGAACAUCUCUUGUUAGUGCUCUCUUGUUCUGAUGAUUAAUGAGGAUGCAUGCGUGUUCUGGUUGCAAAUAAGGAAUGGAGGUCUCUACAGGUUUGAUACAAUGGUCUGGAUUAGUGACGCAGCCACAUAGUGCCCAGGGGGCAUGUUUCUCCUCUCAAGUUUUCGAUGGGCAAUUGUAAAGAAGGGAAUUGUAUUUGACAAAGACCCUUGACACUCCCUAUCACAAAAAAAAUUUAGUAUUGUUGAGCAAGGUUACCGGUGGUGACUCUGCACUCAGAGAUUAUCUUUCAACCCAUCCAUCUGGGAAAAAGAGAGCUGAAUUGCUGGCUCAAGCUUAAGAUCAUGGAAGAAGCACUCACCAUGCAACCACUAACACAGUCCCACUUUACCUCCCAUAGCAUUAAGUUUGUCUUAUAAAUGUAAGACAUAAUUUGAAAACAAGAAGACAUUAGGAUCAUAAAUAUAAUGAAUAGAAUUAACAUAAAGUAGUUAUGAAC
Non-coding RNA from Malus domestica (apple), 810 nucleotides. The record is from RefSeq and is a predicted model, not a curated record. Lineage: Eukaryota; Viridiplantae; Streptophyta; Magnoliopsida; Rosales; Rosaceae.